Molecule: ribosomal RNA, 375 nt
Filed under: uncultured organism
Description: partial 16S ribosomal RNA
Rfam family: Bacterial small subunit ribosomal RNA
Source: RNAcentral
GUAGGUGGCAAGCGUUGUCCGGAAUUAUUGGGGCGUAAAGCGCGCGCAGGUGGUUCUUUAAGUCUGAUGUGAAAGCCCCCGGGCUCAACCGGGGGAGGGUCAUUGGAAACUGGGGAACUUGAGUGCAGGAGAGGAAAGUGGAAUUCCACGUGUAGCGGUGAAAUGCGUAGAUAUGUGGAGGAACACCAGUGGCGAAGGCGACUUUCUGGCCUGUAACUGACACUGAGGCGCGAAAGCGUGGGGAGCAAACAGGAUUAGAUACCCUGGUAGUCCACGCCGUAAACGAUGAGUGCUAAGUGUUGGGGGGUUUCCGCCCCUCAGUGCUGCAGCUAACGCAUUAAGCACUCCGCCUGGAGAGUACGGUCGCAAAGACUG